CAGAUUCAUGCUGCCUGGAACAAUAACAAACAGUUGAAUUAGCUGGGACAUUAACGUAGCGUUUACAACUGUUAUUUAUUUUGUGUUGGUAUUGUAGCUCAGUGUUAGCAGAAAUGUCCGGAAAGGCCAAGGAUAUCCUACAGAUGGACCUGUAUGGUUUACUCGGCAUUGAAAGCACUGCUACAACGAAAGAGAUUAAGAAAGCUUAUCGACAGAAAGCCUUGACCUGCCAUCCAGACAAGAACCCAGACAACCCAAAAGCAGUGGAGCUCUUCCACCAGUUGUCCCAGGCUCUUGAGGUGCUAACUGAUGCUGCUGCCAAGGCUGCCUAUGAUAAGAUUUGCGCUGCCAAGAAACAAGCAGAAGAAAGAAACAGGAAACUAGAUGACAAGAGGAAGAAAAUUAAGCUUGAUUUGGAGUCCCGAGAGCGACAAGCAGAAGCUCACAGCCAGGAGGAGGUGCAAAACACUAGAACACUUGAGGAAGAGAUUGCCCGUUUGAGAGAGGAGGGAUCCAGGCAGCUUGAGGAGGAACAGAGGCUCAUCAGAGAGCAGAUACAGAGAGAAAGGGAAGCGCAGCAGCAGCAAACAGAAGGCUACACUCAGAGCAGUAAUGUCCACUUCAAGUUUUAACCUAGCCCAGUCUGCUCUAGUCCACGUUAACCAAACCAAUUCACUGCCACCCUGUUCUGCCUGGAUAAAUCCAGUUUGAUCCAGUGAAGUUCUUUUACAAUCCUGAAAGCCUCAGCUGAGUGAACCCCCAUGUUUCCCAAUGACCAUUCUGUCAGUCCAACCACAGCAGUCUCCACGCACCCUGUGGUUUACCAAAUAACGUUCACACAAAUGACAAUAACUGAAUGUAUAUUUGAAUUUAUGUUUUGUUUUAAAACAUUUUCAAGAGGUCUGUUUUAUUUUUUGUCAGUAAGACAACUUGGCAAGAUUAACAUAGGAAUGCCAAGCACCACGCACACACAUAGCUGUCCAUCAGACUCUUAACCGCUUGAUAAUAUUUUUGCAUUAAAGCCUCGGUGUCUCCAUUCUGGAGACAUGAAAAAAAUGAGGAGUCUUGUAAAAUAAGACCAUGGAAGUGUGUGUAUUUAAGGGGAAUUACUGAUUCUUGGACAUAGACUAGACCCGUUUUUGUGGCUUGACAAUUACUCAUGCAUAGCCAGCACGUCUUUUGAGUCUCUUCCAUUUGCAAGCAGUCAUGGCCUCCCCAGCCCUCCCACUCUUGUCUGUUCCAUCUCAAGAGGCGCUCAGUGGAUCAUCAGACUGUACAUAGGCAGGCCAUACAUUUACUGCGUGACAGCCCGUUUAAAAUUACUGUCCAUCUGGAUGAGUCCCUCGCCUGACUCAGGAGUGGAGAGAUGUUCCAAGAGCAAUGUGACCCCCAAAUUGAAGGUAA
This is an RNA transcript of Micropterus salmoides (largemouth bass), 1404 nucleotides long. It is a transcript of the gene named dnaJ homolog subfamily C member 17-like, with no coding region annotated. The transcript has 7 exons. Lineage: Eukaryota; Metazoa; Chordata; Actinopteri; Centrarchiformes; Centrarchidae. The record is from RefSeq and is a predicted model, not a curated record.